Long non-coding RNA from Cottoperca gobio, 2995 nucleotides. The record is from Ensembl. Lineage: Eukaryota; Metazoa; Chordata; Actinopteri; Perciformes; Bovichtidae.
UACACACAUCUACACACACACACACCUACACACACAUAUACACACACACCUACAUACACACACACACACACACCUACACACACACACACACCUACACACACACACACACACCUACACACACACACACACACACAUAUACACACACACAUAUACACACACACACACACACCUACCACACACACACACACACACACACACACACACACACACACACACACACACACACACCUACACACACACACACACACACACACAUAUACACACACACAUAUACACACACACACACACACACACACACACACCUACACACACACACACACACACACACACACACAGUUCUUGCUCAAGGACACUUUGACAUGCUGGAUCCGGGGAGUGAAGCAUGUAAAACCUUUGCAGUGAAACUUUAGAUGCAUGAAUUGCUUUUCACGGGUAAUAAUAAAUAAAUCAUCUUCUUUAUGAAUCCUUAUCUUCAUAAAUGCAUUUCAGUGUGUUAGAGUCACUGCACUUCCUCACGCAGCCUCCACCAGGUUCCUCCUCACUGUAAUCACACAGCUUCACGGUGGUAAACAUGGAUUCAGUGUGAGUUCUUGUGUUUGGUCAGAGAGGCUGAUGUCUUAUUAUUCACAGGUGUGCAGCUUCUUAACAAGGUUUGUACAGUUCCUCCUGAGUAAAUGUUAAGAUCCUGCUAACCCUGAACAGCAGGAUGCUGCUCUCGGUGUACACGGAGGACCCUGCAGGAGAAGAGGAAAUGAUAUUUUCCAUAUCAUUAGAAUGGAUCUUGACCUCGGUGCAGCAGCAAGCAGCACAGUCCGUCUGAAAGCUGCAUUUAUGUGUUAUCUUGGAAAAAGUGUCUCAGAGGUUUCAGCCUCCUCCCUGCAGAGCUUAUCAUCCAACCCACCGGCUGCAGCCUCCUGCCUGAGUCCAGGGUCUGACAGCAGAGAGGAGACACUUGAGCUGUGCUUCACUUCACUGCAGCAGCUCGAGUGACGCCGUCCUCCUUCAGCCUGAAAGCACUUUUAUAUAUCCAAGGUGACAAACAGCAGGAGAGGAUUCUAUUGACAUAUUUUAUAUUUGUAAAUUAACUGGGGCUUUUUUGCAUAAUGAAUACUUAUGAAACUUUAAGUACAUUUUACUGAUAUGUUUGUACUCUUAUGGAGACACUACAGGUGAAUAGUGUAGACAUUUUAAAUAGUAGAUAUCACUCACCAUGAAACGUUUAAAUAUGUUCUCUUAUUAAAGAUGUGCUGAUGUGCUCCAUGUCCAGAUGUAAAGAGAAGUCUGGAUGAAGCAGGUUCAAAGUGUUUCAUGUUGUUCACAUGUCAAAGGUUUGUACAGAUUCUGGAUCUGUCUUUGUAUCACUCCAUAAAUCACUGAAUCCUGUCAACACACAGAACUUAGUGCAUCUCCUGCAUGUAGUGAGUGUAGCGUGUAUAACAUGAGCUGUGAGUGACAUGUGAACAAAGCCCUCUGCACAAAGCUUCAGAAUAUAGAGAGGAAUGAAAGUGGAAAGUUUGGUGUAUGUAAGUGCUGCUGAAGUGGAGACUUCUGCUGAAGAGUGUGAGAAAAAGCUCCUUUAGAGAAAAGCUCCUUUAAAGAUAUGUAUUGUAACAUUCAUACAUGUUGUACACACUACAGGUGAACAGGGUCAUACAUGUUGUACACACUACAGGUGAACAGAGUCAUACAUGUUGUACACACUACAGGUGAACAGAGGUCAUACAUGUUGUACACACUACAGGUGAACAGAGUCAUACAUGUUGUACACACUACAGGUGAACAGAGUCAUACAUGUUGUACACACUACAGGUGAACAGAGUCAUACAUGUUGUACACACUACAGGUGAACAGAGUCAUACAUGUUGUACACACUACAGGUGAACAGGGUCAUACAUGUUGUACACACUACAGGUGAACAGAGUCAUACAUGUUGUACACACUACAGGUGAACAGAGUCAUACAUGUUGUACACACUACAGGUGAACAGAGUCAUACAUGUUGUACACACUACAGGUGAACAGAGUCAUACAUGUUGACAGAGUCAUACAUGUUGUACACACUACAGGUGAACAGAGUCAUACAUGUUGUACACACUACAGGUGAACAGAGUCAUACAUGUUGUACACACUACAGGUGAACAGAGUCAUACAUGUUGUACACACGACAGGUGAACAGGGUCAUACAUGUUGUACACACUACAGGUGAACAGAGUCAUACAUGUUGUACACACUACAGGUGAACAGGGUCAUACAUGUUGUACACACUACAGGUGAACAGAGUCAUACAUGUUGUACACACUACAGGUGAACAGAGUCAUACAUGUUGUACACACUACAGGUGAACAGAGUCAUACAUGUUGUACACACUACAGGUGAACAGAGUCAUACAUGUUGUACACACUACAGGUGAACAGAGUCAUACAUGUUGUACACACUACAGGUGAACAGGGUCAUACAUGUUGUACACACUACAGGUGAACAGGGUCAAACAUGUUGUACACACUACAGGUGAACAGAGUCAUACAUGUUGUACACACUACAGGUGAACAGAGUCAUACAUGUUGUACACACUACAGGUGAACAGGGUCAUACAUGUUGUACACACUACAGGUGAACAGGGUCAUACAUGUUGUACACACUACAGGUGAACAGAGUCAUACAUGUUGUACACACUACAGGUGAACAGAGUCAUACAUGUUGUACACACUACAGGUGAACAGAGUCAUACAUGUUGUACACACUACAGGUGAACAGGGUCAUACAUGUUGUACACACUACAGGUGAACAGAGUCAUACAUGUUGUACACACUACAGGUGAACAGGGUCAUACAUGUUGUACACACUACAGGUGAACAGGGUCAAACAUGUAACUAACAGAUAUCAUGAAGCUUCCCCACUUCAUGACUCACAUCAACACAACUUUAUAUUACAAGUGUUUAAUAUGUACAUGAGGCGUUAUGUAAUGUAGCUGUGGAGAGUUUAAAUCUACACACACA